Molecule: long non-coding RNA, 359 nt
Filed under: Mytilus galloprovincialis (Mediterranean mussel)
Lineage: Eukaryota; Metazoa; Mollusca; Bivalvia; Mytilida; Mytilidae
Source: RNAcentral
AGAGACAUGUAGCGAAAUCUGUUUUCUUUUAUUGUGUCUGUGUGCAUCAUUCAAAAUUAGAGAAUGUAAUUUUGAAGUAUCAAAGGGAAGAGGGGUAGGACCUUUAUCGGAACUCCGGGAUAGGCUGUUUUUAAGCUCGGGAUUUCGGGAUUGACCCUUUCGGGAUCCGGGAAUUCUAUUUCCGAAUUUCGGGUAGUCGGGAUUUAGAUUUUUUUUAAUUCGAGACCUCGCCGGAUUUCGUGUUUUUAAGCCCGGGAUUUUGGGAUCUGGAUCCCUCCUUCCCUCCUCCCUCUAUUAUGGUUAAAGAAAAGAGGUCAUGGAAGUUUUGUGAUACUUGUAACUGCAAUUUAAUAUUUAGU